CUGGCAAUACAGGAACAGCCGACUGUCUCCACUACUCCAACUUCCCUUAGCAUGAACCAUGCUAAGUGUUUAGCUUGACUAAUGCUCUGGCUCGGCUCUAUGGCUGCUUGGAGAAAAGUAAAGUUGCCUUGUUUGGACGUUUGCUGAGAGGAUCCCACACACAGAAGGAGGAAGAGUAUGAUCAAGAGUCAGAGAGGCAAGUGGGGAUCUCAGGCAACAGUGGAGUCCCCAUAAAGCCAAGUAAUUUCAGGAGAAAGAUGCCUGCAAGCUGUCAGUCCACUUCAAAACUGGGUUGUCUGUCCUCAUAGGGAUGCUGUCUGAGUGGAAGAAGGACACGGUGACGUGAAGCACCGGAGGGAUGAGCUCGUCACCAACUCUGACAGGAAGCAUGAAUGACACCUGACACGAGGUCAGACUCUGAGUGCUGCCUGCUGCUAACUGCCGCUCGGAAAAAGACCUCUGAUUGACCAGAUCUGACAUAAAAACAAGUCUACUCCCAUACAAAGAGGUGUGAUGAUUGGACGAGGGGCAAAGCAAAAUUGAGCCUCAAUAACAGGAUUUAACUGCUGGUAUAAUACCAACUCCAAUUCCUAGAAUUACUUGUGUAUUGAUGCAACAGUAUUUACUGUGUAAUCAACAACUGAUGUCAUUGAAAUUAUUCCAACAAAACAAUUUAUGUCUGAAAAACUUAAAGUUUACCUUCUUAUCUAAUCAGAAUAGGUCAUUUCACUAAACUUAACUACUUUUAUACGGCAAUCAAAUUUGCUGAAAUUGUCUCAGUUCCUUUUUAAAGACCAAGAGGUCUAAAGUAUGGUGUUGGGGGUAAAAAGGGUCCUUCAGACUUAAAUUUAUUCUUCUCCAUUUUAUCAAGGUUAUUUUUUCAUUAUCUCUGUUCCUUCACAUUGUUUUUAGGGUCAUUGAUUACAUCUCUUUGACUUCCUUCUCCUGAGCUUUUUACCCCUUAUUUACUUUGGUGGGAUUUUUAAGCUGAAAAGUAAUUUUUUUAGGUACGGUUUUCUGUUUAAAAAAAAAACAUUACACAAAAUAUGCUGCUGUAGUUCCCAACUGUGAGUUGAGGAGCCCACUGCUGGCAAAGAAAAACCAAAUGGAGGUGUUGAGAUGAUCUCCAGAAAGUAAAUUAAAUUAUAAAUUGACUUCAAAUAAAUAGCGUUUCAGCACAAUUAUUAGAAAAGACACAAUCAGUGGAGCUUAAUGGUUGAAUAUAGCUGAAUGUUUGUUUGAGAACUUUGGCUGGAGGUCAGCAGUUUUACUAUCCUUCAAUCAUUGUGGUUGAAGAUAGUGGUUAAUGUAUGCAGCUUUAAAAGGAACUGCAGGUCGGUCACUUGAUGCCUGAUUGUUAAGUCUAGUGGUAAUCAAUCUCACCAUUGUGCUCUUUGCUUUAAGCUUCCUGAAUGCUAACCUGAUGCCUUCCUGUGUCCCCAUGUUACCUCCCAAAGCCCAACCUUGAGCCUUUCCUAGAGAAAUCCUCGAAGCCUCACCAAACCGGAAAUACCAACCUGGAUCACUCACCACUCCUCAACAAUCAUCCACUGUGGAUCUUUUAUUCCUAACUGUCCUCCAAACAUCCAAGAUGAGCACAGAUUAAUGUAAUUACAGAAUAAUAUUCACCAAUAUAAAACUGCUUCAACUCAGUUCCUCCUCCAGUGCCACCAAACGUCACACUGUGAGAAAUUUUAUGUCUCCUAUCUUAGAAACAAACGUUAAAAAGCUGCCUAAAAACAAUGAGUAAAGUCAACUUUCAGAUUUGCAUGAUCUCAACUCUAACGCAUUUAAGAACAGACAGGAAAACGUACAAUAAGUUCAACAUUGGAAAACACAUAAACUAUCAUUCUGUGUAAAAAGAAAACUCAUUGUGACACAUGGAGUUUAUAGAGAAAAUCAGUGCGUUUUACCUAAGGGGGAUGUCAGUUUUUACAGUGCAGUGACCGCAUUUACAAAAAGUAAUUGAAAAUUAUUCUUUGAACCAACCUGACUUUAAUUUCCUUUCAGAUUCAACUGGGGACCAACCAAUAAUUUCUUCACGGCUCACCUUCGGCUCAUAUUUACUGGUUCUCAGAAUCUCUCUCCAUUUUGUUGUUAACAAAUACUUGCAAACAUGACCAACAAAACCCAUUUGUGCUGUUGGUCGGAGACUUAAAAGUGUGGGAAUAAUUGUUACACUUUUUGUGAUCCUCCUUCCCUGUUUUGCUGGACGGCAAGUUUCAUAGAUAUAGCAUAAAAUGAUGAAUGCUGGAGUAGAUUUUAUUUUGGAUUGGUGUUAUGUAUCAAAUAAAGUAUUUGUGUGACUUGACUUCAGGCAUUUUUAUAUAUAUUAAUAGAUAACAGUGGUUGCUGUUGCAUUGAUGCAUAACAUUCAGAAGUAUGUUUAUUAGUUACCGGCUUCCAUUUAAUGUUAUUACCUAAUUAUUCAAAUGGAUAAAGUUUGGAACCUAGAAAGCCAUUUUUAUAAAGUAAUAAACUUCACAAAGGUGCUUACUUAAAAGGUGUGUUGCAGUGCAGCAAUUUGACGGCACAUUUUUAUUUCAUUUCAGUAUUUUGACAAAGAUGUAUUUUAGUUUUAGUCCUGUUUUAGUUAUUUGUAGUCCCUUUAGUUUCAGUCGACAGGAUUACUGUAAAUUUAAUUGACUAAAAAGUCUAAAAAUGUCUUAAUAGCUUGCUGAAAUACUUUUCCUACAAUAAAAUACAGGUAAAGUAAAAAUUUGAAAUGAACAAAUUCCAUUUAUGAACAGCUAAAACUUGGAUAAAUUGUACAAAUAGAAUCCAAGAGCAAAGUAGUCAGUUCUUUUUAAAUUGUUGGACUUUGAAUUCAUUUUAUUCAGCCAGAAUUUGUUGUGUUAGUAUUCAUUUUCUUUUUAUUCUCAGUAAAAAGAGAAUGUACUGUAUCUACAGCACUAUUGUGAGGUAAUUCUUUUAACCUGUCCAUUUAGCAGGGGUCUCCUGUUUCAGUUUGCUUCAGUUCACUUUUAAAUUUGCAGUAUUUAAAAGGAGGCUGAAAUGAUCUGUUGAGGUGUUUCUAUCUCUGUGUCCGGUUGUCUAGGACAUAUCUGAGAUCUUCUGUAAUUAAAAGAAUCAUUAGCUGAAA
Long non-coding RNA from Girardinichthys multiradiatus, 3103 nucleotides. RefSeq lists it as uncharacterized. The record is from RefSeq and is a predicted model, not a curated record. The transcript has 3 exons. Lineage: Eukaryota; Metazoa; Chordata; Actinopteri; Cyprinodontiformes; Goodeidae.